AGUGCUCUGAGAUCCACUAGGAUGAAGAACACUAUAUAAUGAUCAGAUUCUGAUACCCUUACUUAUGUUGUACCUUACUCCUGCGAGUAGUCAACAGAUGUUAAUGGUACUAUCUGUGGAGUGUAGUGCUACUCAAGGAAAGGAUACACUUGCAUAGGACGAAGAGCCAGGAAGAGAUGUGUGCAUGUGUGGAACAAGGAGGAUUUGGGAAAGAAGGAGAGGCUGAUUCAAGUAAUGAAGAUGAUGAAACUGGCACAGGGAGGUGAAGUGGCUUACUCAAGGACACACAGUGGACCAGUAGCAGAGCCAGGAAAAGAAACUAGGUCUCCUGAAUCCCAGUCCAGUAUUCCAAUUCACUAGACCACACUACCUCACAUGUAGAGAAGUAUAUUGAAAAUUUAGUACACUAUAAAGGUUAAUUUUUGAAAAAAACAUGAAAUUAAUAGAUUAUUAAUUUUCAUAUUUGAUUCAGUCUUUUUUUAAAAUUCUGAACUGGAAUGCUGCAGAAACCAGAGGACCUUGCCAGUUUUAUGUCAAUCUUAUCAUAGACACAGUGAUCUCGUAUACUGUGCUCACAAAGUAAGCUCUAGGACCUUCAGAUCUCAAGCAAUCUACAAGGGCAGUGAAGGAGCUAAAGUCCCAUUCUUGUGCAUCUUAGAAGCUCCAGGAGGGCAACUUCAUGCACCUCAGUGACAGUGAGAGCGUCAUCCGCAUUUCAAGGUCACACCGCUGUCUGCCAAAAUGUGUGAUGCAAGAGAAAAAUGAAACUUGCACUAUUACUGGGUAGUUACUUCCAACAACCACAUGAAAAAGGUAAAAAGAGAUCAUAAUUAAAAUUAAUGAUACCAAAAUUCUUCACAAUUUUAUCAGAUUCUUUUUGUUUAGCCAGAAGAC
Long non-coding RNA from Mauremys mutica (yellowpond turtle), 894 nucleotides. RefSeq lists it as uncharacterized. The transcript has 4 exons. NCBI's taxonomy places the organism in Eukaryota, Metazoa, Chordata, Testudines, Geoemydidae. The record is from RefSeq and is a predicted model, not a curated record.